Molecule: non-coding RNA, 2780 nt
Organism: Oryctolagus cuniculus (rabbit)
Lineage: Eukaryota; Metazoa; Chordata; Mammalia; Lagomorpha; Leporidae
Source: RefSeq, a predicted model, not a curated record
CGCGGCUCCCUCAGGGUGGGCGCGUGCGGGCCUAGCGAGGGCGGGGCCUGGGGCCGGGAGCGCGCUGGGCGCCCCACCCCGCCCCUGCCCCGCGCGCCGGCUGCGCGGGCCUUCUGGUCAAUGAGAGCGCCUGGCUGGGCGAGGCUGUCAGGUUGCUAGAACAAUUAUGCAGAUCCACCAGAUGCAGGGGAAAAAACUGAGCAACCUCACCCAGGUUCUGCUCUCCGAUUAAGAGCGCGUUUGGAAGGCUGAGGAGAUAUUCCAAUGGAGGAUGCCAUGGGGAAAUGAAUGACUCCUGAAUAUUGACACUUCAGAUGUGAGCCUUGUGUCAUGAAGAUGCAUGGAAGAACAGUGAGCCUUCUUGAGAUCUCUCAACUUAUAAAGUGUAACAGCUACCUGUGAUGUGUACUGCUGACAGUGGUGGAGUGAAGAUUGGAAUUCAUCUGCUCACCUUUAACCUGCUGCUCUUUCUAUUACCAAUGGAGUCACCAUGUUUCAGCUCCUCAGAGAACAGAAUCAAUAGAAACAAGCUUAGUGUAUGGCCAGGUAGGCUUAAAUUAGACAAGAUAUUUCCUAUAAGUGACAGUUGUGAGAGAAUGAACCUAGCUGGACCACUUCUCUAAAUCUUUAAUAUUGGGGCUCCCUAAAACCAGCAUUGUGGUAUGGCAGGUAAAGCCACCACCUGUGACCCUGGCAUCCCAUAUGGAUAUUUGUUCGAGUCCUGGCUGCUCCACUUCUGAUCCAGCUCCCUGCUAAUGUGUAAGUCUCCAAGUCCCUUUCCUCUUUAUGUUCUUGGGCUAGACUACAUGAUAUCAUAUAACCUUUAAGGACACUUCCAGGUCUAGAAUCCUGUAAGACCGUAAUAUAUAGUCUAUGUUCUCAAGUAGCCUAUGAUCUCAUGGGAAGGUAAUGCUCAAAUUCACACACACACACUCACUCACUCACACUGCCUUUCCUUUCUAUUCUUCUCAUUUAUCUCUGGAACCCUUCAGUUUGAUGAGAUUAUCUAUACACCAUAUCCUUAAAGUAUUAAUAAUGCCAACCCACAGAAUAUGAAACAUGCUUGUAAAGCUAGAUCCAAAGUUAAAGAAAAUUGGUUCUUUUUUUUAAAGACUUAUUUAUUUAUUUGAAAGUCAGAGUUGCAGAGAGAGAGAAGGAGAGGCAGAGAGAGAGUCUUCCAUCUGCUGGUUCACUCUCCAACUGGCCACAAUGGCCAGAGCUGUGCCGAUCAGAAGCCAGGAGACAGGAGCCCCUUCCUGGUCUCCCACUUGGGUUCAGGGGCCCAAGGAGUUGGGUUAUCUUGUAUUGCUUUCCCAGGCCACAGCAGAGAGCUGGAUCUGAAGUGGAGCAGCCGGGACUUGAAUCAGUGCCCAUAUGGGAUGCUGGCACUGAAGGUGGUGGCUUUACCCGCUAUGCCACAGUGCUGACCUCAAAUUGAUCCUUUUGACUACUACAUCCCCCCUUGUUAAAAAUGCCAAUGUCAAGUCCGAAUAAUUCUUCAGUAGUAGACAAAGUCUCCAUAUUCCAGAAUAAUUAGGGGAAAAAUAUAACAUUUUGUUAAAAGAGGGCUGUCAUAUACUGAAAUUACUUCAAAAAGUUCAUGAAAAUGGAAUUAAAAGAUAAGUUUAUUAUUUUAAAGUAUUUUUAAAAUUUAUUUGACAGGCAGAGAUGUAGACAGUGGGGGAGAGACAGAAAGAAAGGUCUUCCUUCUAUUGGUUCACUCCCCAAUUGGCCGCCACGGCUGGCGCUGCGCUGAUCCGAAGCCAGGAGCCAGGUGCUUCUUCCUGGUCUACCAUGGGGGUGCAGGGGCCCAAGCACUUGGGCCAUCCUCCACUGCCCUCCUGGGCCACAGCAGAGAGCUGGACUGGAAGAGGAGCAACUGGGACUAGAACCCAGCCCAUAUAUGGGAUGCCGGCACCACAGGCAGAAGGAUAACCAAGUGAGCCACGGCACUGGUCCCAAAAGAUAAGUUUAUUUUAAUGCAUAAAAUUUUGAAAUCCAUGCAUAUGAAUGGUCUCCAAAAAUCCAUGGAAAAUAUGUAUUAUAUCAAAAGUUUGUGAGGACUUCAAUUUUUAUUUUGCACCAAAAUGAACUUUUAAUUCAAUUUCCACAAAUUGUUUUCAAGUAUCCCUAUAACACACAUAGAUUACUAAUGUUGAAGUAAGUUUACUAUAGUGAAAUCUACCAUAUAAAAGCUGGAGCAGUACUUGUGGUGAUUUAGAAAGUCCUGUCAUGGUCUCUGAGGGUUUUUAUAUCAUUAUGAGCAAAUCUCAUUAUUUAGGACACCAACUGGGCCAAUAUAGGAGACUGAGCUGAACUUCUGCUGAUACAUGGACUCCCAGGUGAAAAUUUAUAUAUAAUCUGUCUGAUGUAUGUUUGAUUUCUUUGACGCUUAUCUCUUUCAUAAAAGUACAAGGCUGAGAAAAAUGUUUAUUUUAGCUUGACUUUUGUUUGGGUUAUCAGAAACAGAGGACUUUUAGUCCUAGUUUCUUACCAUUUUCCAAAUUAGUUUUCUCAUCUAUGGUUUCAUCCACUGUUCUGGCAUUCCUGUGGUUAGGAAGAGACAAUGCUCAUGAAUAGGAGUCACUGUGCACUUACUCCUCAUGUAGGAUCUCUGUCCUUAAUGUGUUGUACAUUGUGAAUUAAUGCUAUAACUAGUACUCAAACAGUAUUUUACACUUUAUAUUCUGUGUGGGUGCAAACUGUUGAAAUCUUUACUUAAUAUAUGCUAAAUUGAUCUUCUGUAUAUAAAGAUAAUUGAAAAUGAAUCUGGAUGUGAA